This 21-nucleotide unclassified non-coding RNA is filed under the name Chlamydomonas reinhardtii. RNAcentral's name for it is "small RNA Cre_1957". Lineage: Eukaryota; Viridiplantae; Chlorophyta; Chlorophyceae; Chlamydomonadales; Chlamydomonadaceae. The record is from RNAcentral.
GGUACACGCAAAUGAAGCGUC